Molecule: long non-coding RNA, 968 nt
Organism: Pieris napi
Lineage: Eukaryota; Metazoa; Arthropoda; Insecta; Lepidoptera; Pieridae
Exons: 5
Source: RefSeq, a predicted model, not a curated record
AAUCAAAAAUUCAGUAUUAAUUUAAUUAUUCGCUAGUUCACUUGUGUUUAAUUAUGUUGUGUAGAUUGACGAAAUGCUGUUUUUGCUUUCCUCUAAGAUCUGGAUUAAUCGCAUUUGGAUAUAUUUGUCUUAUAAUUCUUUACCUUAACAUAAUAUCGAUAAUAUGCCAUAUGAGUGACCUGUUCCAGGGACUAUCAUCAACCGAUCCCAUGAAUUACAUUAUACUUUCGCUGGCGUUGGGUGUCAACAUUAUUCAGUUCUUUUUUGAUGUUAUUUUACUUGUCGGACUUCACAAGGGAAGCACUGCAUUACUAGAAGCAUACUACGAGUGCAACUUAUGUAUGCUUAUAACUCAAAUGGUAAUUGCUGGCUUGUACAUUCCUCUACAGGCUUAUAGAUCAUAUCCUACACUGAAGAAUUACGUUUGGUUAUUAUCAAUUAUAAUGAUUUUUUGCGGUGCUCUUGUUAUUGUGUGUCAAUUCUACUUAACGUCACUGGUUAAAAGUCAGUUACGAGCCAUUAAACAAGCAGUGGUUAGGGAAGAAGAAGUAUGAAACUAGCAGUUCAUCGAAAAAUUCAACUCGACAGGAACGCAUUCUGGUGAAGCGGAGACACAUGCUGAUACUAUGGAAAGAUGCUUGAAACAAAAGAAGAAUGCUUAUUUUCUAAAUCUAAUUGUUAAUAACUUCGUAGAUAUAUGUAUUCUCACAUGUGUUAAAGUCUUGGUAAUCAACUAAUCCAUAGACGUAUUAGGCCACGUGUGUGUUUAGGGGUAUCUACACGGGAUACACUUUUAAUGAAAUAUGUGCCGACUAUAUCCUGACAUUACAAAAAAACAUUUUAAUGCAGCACAUAAAAAAGCGCUGAAAAAAUUUAUAUCUCGGCAAUAUUUCUGCAUAUGGCUCAUUAUUUUGUCUUUACACGGUCUACAUACAUGGCAUGGCUAGUACUUAUUACCAAAAUAAACA